This 253-nucleotide ribosomal RNA is filed under the name uncultured bacterium. RNAcentral's name for it is "partial 16S ribosomal RNA". It matches the Rfam family "Bacterial small subunit ribosomal RNA", at positions 524 to 776 of the family's 1533-position model. The record is from RNAcentral.
UACGAAGGGGGCUAGCGUUGUUCGGAAUCACUGGGCGUAAAGGGCGCGUAGGCGGCUUUAUAAGUCGGGGGUGAAAGCCUGUGGCUCAACCACAGAAUUGCCUUCGAUACUGAAGAGCUUGAGUCCGGGAGAGGUGAGUGGAACUGCGAGUGUAGAGGUGAAAUUCGUAGAUAUUCGCAAGAACACCAGUGGCGAAGGCGGCUCACUGGCCCGGUACUGACGCUGAGGUGCGAAAGCGUGGGGAGCAAACAGG